CACGUAGGCACCAAGCGUUGUCCGGAUUUAUUGGGCGUAAAGAGCUCGUAGGCGGUUCGGUAAGUCGGGUGUGAAAACUUUGGGCUCAACCCAAAGCGUGCACUCGAUACUGCCAUGACUAGAGUUCGGUAGGGGAGUGGGGAAUUCCUAGUGUAGCGGUGAAAUGCGCAGAUAUUAGGAGGAACACCGGUGGCGAAGGCGCCACUCUGGGCCGAUACUGACGCUGAGGCACGAAAGCGUGGGGAGCAAACAGG
This 254-nucleotide ribosomal RNA is filed under the name uncultured bacterium. RNAcentral's name for it is "partial 16S ribosomal RNA". It matches the Rfam family "Bacterial small subunit ribosomal RNA", at positions 524 to 776 of the family's 1533-position model. The record is from RNAcentral.